UUUGUUAUUUGCAUGUUUUUUGUUGUUUUUUGAAUAAUAGCUAAAAUUAAACUAACGGAACAUAAAAAUGUAAAGUAAGUACCCUAAACUAGAAGCAUAAAAAUAAACAUACACACACGCACACAUGCACCUAAAGCUAUUAGGUAAAACCUAUUAUACAUUCUAAGGUCUGCAGAAAAUAAAUGACAAGAAAAUAAAUAAUUUAUUUACAUCAAAGCCUAAUUUACAUUCUAACAUCCAUGCUCUAAAAAUAAAAUAAGUGACAUAAAUAAAUAAAUAUGCAUGAAAGAAUAGAAAAUAAAUAAAAAUAAAAUGCGAAAUAAAGAAAUAAAAAUAGGUUCAAUCACAAGGCGGGGGUUGUGGUGCCGGUAUUAUGGGGGGUGUGGGUUCUUGUUUUCUUUCUUCUACCUCUUCAACCACGUCCUCACAACUUAAUUUCCUGUUAAGAGAUGACAACUUUAAACAAAGAAAAACAAACGCAGCAAAUUAAUUACCCAGCAACUGAAAAAAUUGGCACGACAGUGUUAGAACUUCUGUGAGAAAAUGGAAACUUUAAAAAGAAGAAAGAAGCCACGGCAAUAUGAGUUCAAACAAUUGGAAACGUAGCAAUAAUGAAACAAAAGGAUCAUCAAUCAAUCAAAACAUAGCAGCAGCAACUGAGAAAUCAAUAUAAGUAUGUACGGCUGAAUUGAAAAUUGCAUGAAAACUAAGGUUUUGGAAUAUAUGUGUAGUAAUAGCAACCGGCAAAGAAAGUGAAUUAGAAUAGCACAUGACAGUAGCAAUAUGAAAUAAAGACAUGAAAUUUUAACGUAAAACACUAAAAUAAGAAACAUAUAAUAAUAUAAUUGCAAAGGGAAUUAGAAUGAAAAGCAAUAACAAAGUAAUGGACAUGGAAUUGAAUUGUUUCAGCAAAGGGAAUUAGAAUGAAAAGCAAUAACAAAGCAUGUUUCAGUUAUGAAAGUAUUAAAAUUAUGCGGUGGCUAACAUGGAUUCAAAAAUGGAAUGAGGGUGUAACUAUCUCUAAGCUACGGCAGCUUGGGUUUUGAUUUUUUUGGAAUAUUUGUGCGUGUGAAGAUUGUGUUGUGUUAGGUCAAAUCGUGUGUGUCAAUUGUGUUGUUGCAGCUUGCUUUUAUAGAAAGGGGACCAGCACUAGGGUUUGUUGAAAGUUGCUGAAAAUUUGUGACUUGGGGAGGAGAAUAAGCAUUGUUAUUGCUGGAUUGAUAAGGCUGGGAAUUGGAUUGGGAUGGAGAAAGAAAGAAAACGUGUACUGUGUUGUUUUUGGAUGAGGAUCACUUUUUUUGGAUUUUAACAAAUAAUAAUAAUGAAGAAUGCAAAAAUAAAAAAAAGAUUAUGCAGACUUUGAACUUCUUGGACUUAUCUAAACAAAAAUUAAAUAAUUAACUAAAUAGAUAAAGACUAAACAAAAUAAAAAAUAAAAAAUAAAUGAUUUAAAAAAGAAUAAAAAUAUGGAAAUUUUAACUAAAAAUAAAAAAAAAAAGAUAUAAAAUUAAAGAGAGAAGAGG
This 1523-nucleotide long non-coding RNA is filed under the name Medicago truncatula (barrel medic). RNAcentral's name for it is "long non-coding RNA (MTRU_LNC006362)". Lineage: Eukaryota; Viridiplantae; Streptophyta; Magnoliopsida; Fabales; Fabaceae. The record is from RNAcentral.